GAAAGUGGCUAAAAUUGAAAUAACCACUGUGUGAAAUGAAGUAUCUACAAACCCUCCCCUGGGCAAGCUCCCAACCUGAGGAACUGGCACCAGGAGGUUUGUCCCAAUGUGAUGCAUGAAAUGAAGAUUGUGUAGCUCUCUAAAUCCAGAUUACCAGCUGAUUUCCUCCCCUAAAUUCCAAGGCACCAUCUGUCAAAAUCACGAAGACCUCCACUACCAGGCUCUUUGAGAUGGGAAAGUGUCAUCUCCACUUCUGCAUACAGGAUGCUGAGGAGCAGAACAGCUGAGGCUGUGCUUGCACAAAAAAAAUGAAGGGGAAACCAUGCAGAUGUGUGUUUGUUUGAGGUACCUUAUUGAAGCACAUGGAUAUAUUUUAUUUGUGAUGGAGCAUCACGUUUCCAAGAAAGUAACAGCUAACACUGGAAUUAGAUCCAUGCUUUUUAUAUUGGACUUACAAGGAAUUCAGGCAAUGGGAAACACCAUGUUCCCUGAAGACAGAGUGGACUCAAGGCCUCAGCCCUUACUUCAGACAAAAUGAACCUUUAUCCCCAGGCAAGCUCAGCAGCAGAAAUACCCAUCCCAGGUCCCAGCUUGGGUCACAACAAACUCAGAAGCUCUGCGGUGGCAAGUUCUCAUCAAAUGUCGUGUGGCAAGGGUCUGCUCUCAUCUUGGCUGCUGUACACCAGGAAUGAAGUGGCCACCUUUGGUCUAUCUACUCUGGAUUUUCUCUGGGGGAGGGAGAUUGCAAUCUGGCUCAUUGCAUCUUUCUAUGUGUGUCACUCGAAAGUACAGAAGAAUAAAAAAGAAGAGCUCUUUUCUUCCAUUGGCUGAAGAUGAAGUUCUUUGUCCAGUGAAAUCCCUGCUUUAAGCACCUCAAAGGAUUACUGAAGUUAGAAAUUGAAUCUUUCUUUGAUAGCCCCAGCAUAAAUAUAUGCACAUAUAAAUAGAGAGACACAGCAUGGGUGCAUUUCAAUAGAUAGAUAUUAUUCUGAUGUAUAUGCUGUAAACAUCUAUGCAGAAAAGGAAA
This 1027-nucleotide long non-coding RNA is filed under the name Anas platyrhynchos platyrhynchos (common mallard). RNAcentral's name for it is "lncRNA (ENSAPLG00000027498.1)". Lineage: Eukaryota; Metazoa; Chordata; Aves; Anseriformes; Anatidae. The record is from RNAcentral.